GGGGCUGUAGCUCAGUGGUAGAGCAUUUGCUUUGCAUGUGUGAGGCAUUGGGUUUAAUCCUCAGCACCA
RNAcentral lists this transfer RNA (69 nucleotides) under Urocitellus parryii (Arctic ground squirrel). RNAcentral's name for it is "Spermophilus parryii (Arctic ground squirrel) tRNA". It matches the Rfam family "tRNA". Rfam says of the family: Transfer RNA (tRNA) molecules are approximately 80 nucleotides in length. Their secondary structure includes four short double-helical elements and three loops (D, anti-codon, and T loops). RNAcentral also lists the same sequence under 1 other name. Lineage: Eukaryota; Metazoa; Chordata; Mammalia; Rodentia; Sciuridae. The record is from Rfam by way of RNAcentral.